UCCUACCAUCUCCUCUUCUAACAGAUUGAUUGCUCCUCAACUCACACUGUCGUCAAAGGCACAUGAAGAUGGCCGGGCCAGCUGUCUGACUGUCCAGACGGAGAGGACGGCGCUGUGAAAGUGAUUAGAGUACCACCACCCGUCCAUUCAAAGCAUUUGUUGUUUAAAUGGGGAGGGGGGGGGGGCACAGCAAAUACAAAUGUGAGACACACAUACUCUGUAGGGUAGUGUGUUUGAUCUGUUAGACAACUGACAAAUCCUUUUAUCAUCCCAUCAGCAUCAUUAAGGAGGCCCUUAGGAUUGUGUGUGUGUGUGUGUGUCGGGUUGUGUGUGCGUGUAGUGCACAUACAGGCACACAAUCAGCUCCCUCAUCUAGCUCCCAUUCCACCAGGGACUCUCCUCGUCUGCCCGUGUAAGAGCCCUCUCUCAGUGCGGAGACGCGGACACAGAGGGACUGUCUGCCUGGGUGAUGGAUGAAGGGACGUGGGGUAGGACAGGAGAAAUGGGACGGGAGAGAGGGAGGGAUGGAGGAGGACGAGGGAGAGAGGGAUACUGAGAGGGAGAUGGAGGAGGAGAGACCUGAGGAGUUUCAGGGCAGGCUCCCCUCAGUUGAAUGACUCCCCUCAGUUGUCCCUACAGAAAGGACAGAGGGAGAAAGGGAGAAAGGGAGAGGAAAGACGUGGGAGGGGGGAGUUGUCUGAGGGAUAGUAGAGGGCUUCACUGUAACAUAUGGUAAAGGAUGGAGGGAGUGCAUUAGAGUGGGAGCAGAAUGGAGAGAUGCCAAGGAAGAAGCAAUUAUGGAGCAAAAAGGGAUGGAUGGAGAGGCAGUACAGGGCCAGGAGGAGUUACAGAGGGAUGAAGGAGGGGCAGUAUAGGGCCAGGAGGAGUUACAGAGGGAUGAAGGAGAGGCAGUACAGGGCCAGGAGGAGUUACAGAGGGAUGAAGGAGAGGCAGUACAGGGCCAGGAGGAGUUAAAGAGGGAUGAAGGAGAGGCAGUACAGGGCCUGGAGAAGUUACAGAGGGAUGAAUGAGAGACAGUACAAGGCUAGGAGGAGUUAAAGAGGGAUGAAGGAGGGGCAGUACAGGGCCAGGAGGAGUAGAGAGGGAUGAUCGAGAGGCAGUACAGGGCAAGGAGGAGUAGAGAGGGAUGAAGGAGAGUUAGUACAGGGCCAGGAGGAGUAGAGAGGGAUGAUGGAGAGGCAGUAAAGUGCCAGGAGGAGUUACAGAGGGAUGAAGGAGAGGCAGUAAGGACAGAUGGAGUCAGACAUGUGAGGGAGAGAGGCACAAAAUUACAGAGAGAAAGGAGCACACGUCCUUUGAGAUCAUAUGACAGAGAGGAAGUGAAGUCACUAGACAGCACGAGACCGCGGGAUCACAGCCACAUGUCUUUCUGUCAGUCUGUGAGCAGACAGGGUGCUAUGGAACAAACCGAACCCCAGGGACACAGUGGUACUUCCUGAAUAUCUGCUGAACAGACAUGGAUCUAUAAAACAAAUCCUGACAGGUUAAGGACCAGGAAAGGACAGACUGACUGAAAGACUAACAGAGAAAUAAAGUUGAGAUGGGAACGGGGGGGGGGGGGGGGGGCAACAGAAGUGAGAGAGGGACAACAACAACAAAAAAAACAGGGGAAAAAGUAGAAAGAGAGAGGAACCUAAAAAAAUCUAGAGAGCUUGCUGCCUUGAUUGUUAUGUAUCUAGGCGUGGGGAUCUGUCAUCUGUAAUGAAGCACACACAGAACAUUUCCUCACCUGUUCCCUCAACCCUGGGCUGUAACCCAUUAGCGUAGCACAAUGCUACGUGCCAUAUCCAACUAAUGGGGUUAGCCAUUUUUCUCUUUCUGCUCCUUUCCGUCUCCCACUCCUCUUUCCCUCUUUCUCUACUCACUUCUGUCUCUCUCCCACUCUCCUCCUACUCCCCCUCUUGCUCAUCAUUCUACUCCCCUGUUUCUCCAUCUCCCUGGGGUUGUGUCUUUCCUCACACUUUUA
This is a long non-coding RNA of Esox lucius (northern pike), 1987 nucleotides long. The record is from Ensembl. NCBI's taxonomy places the organism in Eukaryota, Metazoa, Chordata, Actinopteri, Esociformes, Esocidae.